CUUGUAAAUUUGUGGGGACUUAAAAAUUUAAUUAAUUUUUUUUUCAAUAAACUUUACCGGCCGUUGCAAAGAGCAAAUAUAAAUAUUCAAUUUUACAGUACAUCAGUAUCAUAUCAGUAUAUA
This is a non-coding RNA of Caenorhabditis elegans, 123 nucleotides long. Lineage: Eukaryota; Metazoa; Nematoda; Chromadorea; Rhabditida; Rhabditidae. The record is from Ensembl.